Molecule: transfer RNA, 75 nt
Filed under: Candidatus Hydrogenedentota bacterium
Lineage: Bacteria; Pseudomonadati; Candidatus Hydrogenedentota
Also listed under: 2 other names
Description: tRNA-Gln
Rfam family: tRNA
About the family: Transfer RNA (tRNA) molecules are approximately 80 nucleotides in length.
Source: RNAcentral
UGCCGGAUAGCCUAAUGGUAGGGCACCUGACUCUGGAUCAGGGUAGUCUAGGUUCGAGUCCUAGUCCGGCAACCA